This 376-nucleotide unclassified non-coding RNA is filed under the name uncultured Solirubrobacterales bacterium. RNAcentral's name for it is "contains 16S-23S intergenic spacer region". Lineage: Bacteria; Bacillati; Actinomycetota; Thermoleophilia; Solirubrobacterales. The record is from RNAcentral.
UCCGGUUUGUCACCGGCAGUCUCGUAUGAGUCCCCAACUAAAUGCUGGCAACAUACGACGAGGGUUGCGCUCGUUGCGGGACUUAACCCAACAUCUCACGACACGAGCUGACGACAGCCAUGCACCACCUGUGAUCCUGCCCCGAAGGGAAGCCGUGUUUCCACGGCGGUCAGGAACAUGUCAAGCCCAGGUAAGGUUCUUGGCGUUGCGUCCAAUUAAACCACAUGCUCCGCUGCUUGUGCGGGCCCCCGUCAAUUCCUUUGAGUUUCAGCCUUGCGGCCGUACUCCCCAGGCGGGGCACUUAAUGCGUUAGCGCCGGCACCCAGGGGGUCGCUCCCCCAGGCACCUAGUGCCCAUCGUUUACGGCGUGGACUAC